UACGUAGGGCGCGAGCGUUGUCCGGAUUUAUUGGGCGUAAAGAGCUCGUAGGCGGCUUGUUGCGUCGACUGUGAAAACCUGCGGCUCAACCGUGUGGUCUGCAGUCGAUACGGGCAGGCUGGAGUUCGGUAGGGGAGACUGGAAUCCCUGGUGUAGCGGUGAAAUGCGCAGAUAUCAGGAGGAACACCGGUGGCGAAGGCGGGUCUCUGGGCCGAUACUGACGCUGAGGAGCGAAAGCGUGGGGAGCGAACAGG
This 254-nucleotide ribosomal RNA is filed under the name uncultured bacterium. RNAcentral describes it as "partial 16S ribosomal RNA". It matches the Rfam family "Bacterial small subunit ribosomal RNA", at positions 524 to 776 of the family's 1533-position model. The record is from RNAcentral.